This is a small nucleolar RNA of Dipodomys ordii (Ord's kangaroo rat), 129 nucleotides long. Lineage: Eukaryota; Metazoa; Chordata; Mammalia; Rodentia; Heteromyidae. The record is from Ensembl.
AUAGCACUUUCACAGGUCCUCCUCUAGGAAGUGGGGUUAGGAUUUGGUAGCUGGUGCUGAAAGAAAAUCCUUGAUUGCAUCCUUGCCCUGGUAUUGUGCCAGUGGCAGCUGUCACUCAACGGGACAGAG